ACUACGGGGGGCAGCAGUGGGGAAUAUUGGGCAAUGGGCGCAAGCCUGACCCAGCAACGCCGCGUGAAGGAAGAAGGCUUUCGGGUUGUAAACUUCUUUUCUCAGGGACGAAGCAAGUGACGGUACCUGAGGAAUAAGCCACGGCUAACUACGUGCCAGCAGCCGCGGUAAUACGUAGGUGGCAAGCGUUAUCCGGAUUUACUGGGUGUAAAGGGCGUGUAGGCGGGAAAGCAAGUCAGAUGUGAAAACCAUGGGCUCAACCUGUGGCCUGCAUUUGAAACUGUUUUUCUUGAGUACUGGAGAGGCAGACGGAAUUCCUAGUGUAGCGGUGAAAUGCGUAGAUAUUAGGAGGAACACCAGUGGCGAAGGCGGUCUGCUGGACAGCAACUGACGCUGAGGCGCGAAAGCGUGGGGAGCAAACAGGAUUAGAUACCCGGGUAGUC
RNAcentral lists this ribosomal RNA (443 nucleotides) under uncultured bacterium. RNAcentral's name for it is "partial 16S ribosomal RNA". It matches the Rfam family "Bacterial small subunit ribosomal RNA", at positions 338 to 795 of the family's 1533-position model. The record is from RNAcentral.